RNAcentral lists this microRNA (21 nucleotides) under Gyrodactylus salaris (gyrodactylosis fluke). Its description in RNAcentral is "gsa-let-7-3p". Its record names the gene gsa-let-7-3p. The record is from miRBase by way of RNAcentral. Lineage: Eukaryota; Metazoa; Platyhelminthes; Monogenea; Gyrodactylidea; Gyrodactylidae.
CUCUACAUCAAUCUGCCUUAC